RNAcentral lists this ribosomal RNA (504 nucleotides) under uncultured bacterium. RNAcentral's name for it is "bacterial SSU rRNA". It matches the Rfam family "Bacterial small subunit ribosomal RNA", at positions 21 to 518 of the family's 1533-position model. The record is from RNAcentral.
GGCUCAGGAUAAACGCUAGCGGCAGGCCUAACACAUGCAAGUCGAGCGGCAGCGCGGGAUAGCAAUAUCUGGCGGCGAGCGGCGGACGGGUGAGUAACGCGUAUGCAACCUGCCCCCCACACGGGGAUAGCCGACCGAAAGGACGAUUAACCCCGAUGGCAUCACCUUGAGGCAUCUCGAUGUGAUUAAAUAUUCAUAGGUGGGGGAUGGGCAUGCGUGGCAUUAGUUAGUUGGCGGGGCAACGGCCCAUCAAGACCAUGAUGCCUAUGGGUUCUAGAAGGAAGAUCCCACACAUCGGUACUGAGACACGGACCGAACUCCUACGGGAGGCAGCAGUGAGGAAUAUUGGACAAUGGGGGCAACCCUGAUCCAGCCAAACCGCGUGGGGGGAAAGGAGGUCGUUAAGAUCGUAAACCCCUUUUAUAUGGGAAUAAUCUCCGGCACGCGUGCCGGAUUGCAGGUACCAUUUGAAUAAGCAUCGGCUAACUCCGUGCCAGCAGCAGC